GCUCCGUUGGCCUAAUGGUUAGAGAGCCCACCUCAAAUGCGGGAGGUCGCGGGUUCGAACCCCAGCCGAGUCA
This is a non-coding RNA of Potamilus streckersoni, 73 nucleotides long. NCBI's taxonomy places the organism in Eukaryota, Metazoa, Mollusca, Bivalvia, Unionida, Unionidae. The record is from the annotation of a GenBank genome assembly.